AUCUCGGGUCAAUACUAGAGGUGUGACCAUGUUGUUAAAUCGCGGGGUUUGUAUUGAUCGAUGCUUCUAAAAGAGUGUUGAUCGUUGCUUGCCUACGAGUAGUGUCAAUCGGCAGAAUAGUUGUGUCGAUCGAUGAUGCUCGCUUUUCUUUGCGGAUUGUACGCUUGAGUCUAGUAGGAUCUGAUGGUGGUAAGAGAUCUUUUUCCUUACUGCUUCUUGUGUUGUUGAGCAUGCACCUGAAAGACACAAGAGAAUCAAUUUUUAAUUAGUAAAAAAGAAAGAAAAUAAACUAAAAAUAACAGCUACAAGGAAAAAAAAUAAAUCUAAUGGUGAAUCCAAUGCAAGCUCAAAUUAACCCUAGAGCUAAUUCUCUCAAAUAAGACAUCGAAUGUAUCACUUGGAGAUCUGAUUCACAGGGUGCGGAGGCACACAAUAGACCAAAUGAAUAGUAAGAUCAAGCUAGGAAAAUGAUUGUUAAGAGAGAAAAUAUUAAUAAGUAAUAAAUAAGCUAGUGUGUUCACAAACUUUCAGGUUAUGUAAUCCAAAUUAUAAUAUAAUUUCUAAGUGCAUAUGAUAAUCAAUCCUAAAACUCAAAUUCUAAUGUAAGAUAUCCAGCUCUCGCUGCUAGUCUACGAGUUGGAAUUCUAUGUCUACGCUCUCGCGUUCACACGAAACCGGUAUCGAUCGAUGCACCUAUAGGGUGUCGAUCAAUACUUUUCCAAAC
This 724-nucleotide long non-coding RNA is filed under the name Brassica rapa (field mustard). Its description in RNAcentral is "long non-coding RNA (BRAP_LNC003686)". Lineage: Eukaryota; Viridiplantae; Streptophyta; Magnoliopsida; Brassicales; Brassicaceae. The record is from RNAcentral.